This 206-nucleotide ribosomal RNA is filed under the name uncultured bacterium. RNAcentral's name for it is "partial 16S ribosomal RNA". It matches the Rfam family "Bacterial small subunit ribosomal RNA", at positions 150 to 353 of the family's 1533-position model. The record is from RNAcentral.
UUCGAAAGAAAGAUUAAUACCCGAUGGCAUAAUAGAACCGCAUGGUUUGAUUAUUAAAGAAUUUCGGUUAUCGAUGGGGGAUGCGUUCCAUUAGGCAGUUGGUGGGGGUAACGGCCCACCAAACCUUCGAUGGAUAGGGGUUCUGAGAGGAAGGUCCCCCACAUUGGAACUGAGACACGGUCCAAACUCCUACGGGAGGCAGCAUG